Molecule: long non-coding RNA, 393 nt
Filed under: Camarhynchus parvulus
Lineage: Eukaryota; Metazoa; Chordata; Aves; Passeriformes; Thraupidae
Description: lncRNA (ENSCPVG00000012253.2)
Source: RNAcentral
CUCUGUCCCUUCCCUCAACUUCGAGCGAGGGGCAGAGGUUGCGGCGAAGUCGCUAACACCUCGCUCGCAUUUCCCAAGGCAUCUGGAGUACAGACACCUGCCAUCAGGUGUUGGAGCACCGCGCCUUCCUGCUCUCCGGCCCGGUGCGCGGCAGCGACGGCUCGGGUGCAUUAUACAUGAAGUGGUGGCAGUCUGGCAGGAAACAAAUGGAUAUUUUCUGGCAUGCUUCAUUCAGGGCUGGAGAAGCCACUGCAACCUGAAGGUAUCUGGAACCAGCUAAAACAUCAUUAAUGUGAACAGUUUUUGUAAGAUAUUGCCUCUUACCAUUAUUCUGAGCCUAAAUUCAGCAGCAUUUGGUUAUUGAACUAGAAACUUGGAUAUAUAAAAGUGCCU